Molecule: ribosomal RNA, 2883 nt
Filed under: Xanthomonas campestris pv. campestris
Lineage: Bacteria; Pseudomonadati; Pseudomonadota; Gammaproteobacteria; Lysobacterales; Lysobacteraceae
Description: 23S ribosomal RNA
Rfam family: Bacterial large subunit ribosomal RNA
Source: RNAcentral
GGUCAAGCGAAUAAGCGCACACGGUGGAUGCCUAGGCGGUCAGAGGCGAUGAAGGACGUGGUAGCCUGCGAAAAGUGUCGGGGAGCUGGCAACAAGCUUUGAUCCGGCAAUAUCCGAAUGGGGAAACCCACUGCUUCGGCAGUAUCUUGCAGUGAAUUCAUAGCUGCUUGAAGCGAACCCGGUGAACUGAAAUAUCUAAGUAACCGGAGGAAAAGAAAUCAACCGAGAUUCCCUGAGUAGUGACGAGCGAACGGGGAACAGCCCUUAAGCUGGAAUGGCUUUAGAAAAACAAUCUGGAAAGAUUGGCCAUAGAAGGUGAUAGCCCUGUAUUUAAAAGGGCCACUCCAGUGAAGACGAGUAGGGCGGGGCACGUGAAACCCUGUCUGAAUAUGGGGGGACCAUCCUCCAAGGCUAAAUACUCCUGACCGACCGAUAGUGAACCAGUACCGUGAGGGAAAGGCGAAAAGAACCCCGGAGAGGGGAGUGAAAUAGAUCCUGAAACCGUGUGCGUACAAGCAGUAGGAGCUCGCAAGAGUGACUGCGUACCUUUUGUAUAAUGGGUCAGCGACUUACUGUUCGUGGCAAGCUUAACCGUAUAGGGGAGGCGAAGGGAAACCGAGUCUGAUAAGGGCGCAUAGUCGCGGGCAGUAGACCCGAAACCGGGUGAUCUAGUCAUGGCCAGGGUGAAGGUGCCGUAACAGGUACUGGAGGCCCGAACCCACGUCUGUUGCAAAAGACGGGGAUGAGCUGUGAUUAGGAGUGAAAAGCUAAUCGAACCCGGAGAUAGCUGGUUCUCCUCGAAAGCUAUUUAGGUAGCGCCUCGGACGAAUACUACUGGGGGUAGAGCACUGUUAUGGCUAGGGGGUCAUCGCGACUUACCAAACCAUUGCAAACUCCGAAUACCAGUACGUACUAUCCGGGAGACACACGGCGGGUGCUAACGUCCGUCGUGAAAAGGGAAACAACCCAGACCCACAGCUAAGGUCCCAAAUUCACUGCUAAGUGGAAAACGAUGUGGAAAGGCAUAGACAGCCAGGAGGUUGGCUUAGAAGCAGCCACCCUUUAAAGAAAGCGUAAUAGCUCACUGGUCGAGUCGGUCUGCGCGGAAGAUUUAACGGGGCUAAGCAGUGAACCGAAGCUUGGGGUGCGUAAAACUUCGGUUUUAUGCGCGGUAGAGGAGCGUUCCGUAAGCCUGCGAAGGUGGAUUGAGAAGUCUGCUGGAGGUAUCGGAAGUGCGAAUGCUGACAUGAGUAACGAUAAUGCGGGUGAAAAGCCCGCACGCCGAAAGCCCAAGGUUUCCUUGCGCAACGUUAAUCGACGCAGGGUUAGUCGGUCCCUAAGGCGAGGGCGAAAGCCGUAGUCGAUGGGAAGCAGGUUAAUAUUCCUGCACCUCGCGUGAGUGCGAUGGAGGGACGGAGAAGGUUAGGUGUACCGGGCGUUGGUUGUCCCGGGGAAAGGCGGUAGGUUUGGAUCUUUGGCAAAUCCGGGAUCCUUUAAGACCGAGCACCGAGACGAGCCUUUAUGGCGAAGUCACUGAUACCACGCUUCCAGGAAAAGCUCCUAAGCUUCAGCUCACGAAGACCGUACCGUAAACCGACACAGGUGGGUAGGAUGAGAAUUCUCAGGCGCUUGAGAGAACUCGGGUGAAGGAACUAGGCAACAUGGCACCGUAACUUCGGGAGAAGGUGCACCCUUUUUGGUGGCUCAUGCGAGCUAUAGCUGAAGAGGGUCGCAGAAACCAGGCCGCUGCGACUGUUUAUCAAAAACACAGCACUCUGCAAACACGAAAGUGGACGUAUAGGGUGUGACGCCUGCCCGGUGCUGGAAGGUUAAGUGAUGGGGUCAGCCGCAAGGCGAAGCUCUUGAUCGAAGCCCCAGUAAACGGCGGCCGUAACUAUAACGGUCCUAAGGUAGCGAAAUUCCUUGUCGGGUAAGUUCCGACCUGCACGAAUGGCGUAACGACAGCGGCGCUGUCUCCACCCGAGACUCAGUGAAAUUGAAAUCGCUGUGAAGAUGCAGCGUUCCCGUGGCAAGACGGAAAGACCCCGUGAACCUUUACUAUAGCUUUACACUGAACGUUGAGUUCGUCUGUGUAGGAUAGGUGGGAGGCUAUGAAACUGUGGCGCUAGCUGCAGUGGAGCCAACCUUGAAAUACCACCCUGUCGUGCUUGACGUUCUAACCUAGAUCCGUUAUCCGGAUCAGGGACCGUGUAUGGUGGGUAGUUUGACUGGGGCGGUCUCCUCCUAAAGAGUAACGGAGGAGCACGAAGGUACGCUCAGCGCGGUCGGACAUCGCGCACUGUGUGCAAAGGCAUAAGCGUGCUUGACUGCAAGAUCGACGGAUCAAGCAGGUACGAAAGUAGGUCUUAGUGAUCCGGUGGUUCUGUAUGGAAGGGCCAUCGCUCAACGGAUAAAAGGUACUCCGGGGAUAACAGGCUGAUACCGCCCAAGAGUUCAUAUCGACGGCGGUGUUUGGCACCUCGAUGUCGGCUCAUCACAUCCUGGGGCUGUAGUCGGUCCCAAGGGUAUGGCUGUUCGCCAUUUAAAGUGGUACGCGAGCUGGGUUCAGAACGUCGUGAGACAGUUCGGUCCCUAUCUGCCAUGGGCGUUGGAAGUUUGAGAGGGGCUGCUCCUAGUACGAGAGGACCGGAGUGGACGAACCUCUGGUGUUCCGGUUGUCACGCCAGUGGCAUUGCCGGGUAGCUAUGUUCGGAAGCGAUAACCGCUGAAAGCAUCUAAGCGGGAAGCGCGCCUCAAGAUGAGACUUCCCGGGGCACAAGCCCCCUAAAGGAACCAUAUAGACUAUGUGGUUGAUAGGUCAGGUGUGUAAGUACAGCAAUGUAUUGAGCUAACUGAUACUAAUGAUCCGUGCGGCUUGACCAU